CCUACGGGAGGCAGCAGUGGGGAAUAUUGGGCAAUGGGCGCAAGCCUGACCCAGCAACGCCGCGUGAGGGAAGAAGGCUUUCGGGUUGUAAACUUCUUUUCUCAGGGACGAAGCAAGUGUCGGUUCCUGAGCAAUAAGCCACGGCUAACUACGUGCCAGCAGCCGCGGUAAUACGUAGGUGGCAAGCGUUAACCGGAUUUACUGGGCGUAAAGGGCGUGUAGGCGGGGAGGCAAGUCAGAUGUGAAAACCACGGGCUCAACCUGUGGCCUGCAUUUGAAACUGUGUUUCUUGAGUACUGGAGAGGCAGGCGGAAUUCCUAGUGUAGCGGUGAAAUGCGUAGAUAUUAGGAGGAACACCAGUGGCGAAGGCGGUCUGCUGGAAAGCAACUGACGCUGAGGCGCGAAAGCGUGGGGAGCAAACAGGAUUAGAUAUCCGAGUAGUC
Molecule: ribosomal RNA, 443 nt
Filed under: uncultured bacterium
Lineage: Bacteria
Description: partial 16S ribosomal RNA
Rfam family: Bacterial small subunit ribosomal RNA
Source: RNAcentral